UGCUGCUUCCCUGACAUGAUCAGCUUCUAAAUUGUCCCCUAAGAAAAGAGAUGUAUCUAAAAGAGAAGGCAAACAGAGCAGGAGGGAGUCACAUCAGCCUGUCAGAAAAGUGCCAUGGGCAGCAUCCAGUCCUGGCAGGUGAGAAGGCUGGGAGGAAGACAGCAGCAGCAGAAAUUUACGAUAUCAAAGCCAGUAAGAGCAGUUCUUCUGGAGAAACACACGUAAGCCACUCUAGUUUAACCCAGAUUGUCUGGCAUUGUAUUGAUUCAGCACAAAAAGAAAUGCACAACAGGAAUUGGGAAGAAAUAAAAACCAGGAAUAGGAGCA
RNAcentral lists this long non-coding RNA (327 nucleotides) under Chrysolophus pictus (golden pheasant). RNAcentral's name for it is "lncRNA (ENSCPIG00010007500.1)". Lineage: Eukaryota; Metazoa; Chordata; Aves; Galliformes; Phasianidae. The record is from RNAcentral.